UAUCUUCCUGAAAGCAAAAACAUAAUUAAGUUUCCAGGCUGACAAAUAAUUCUUGAGAUACUUGAAGCAGUUUCUGGGCAUUUUUUUCAUUCUUGUGAAAGGUUAUGAAAAUUGGGCAACGAAGACUACUUUGCUUGUUUAUCUUUUAAUAAUUUUGCUAGUGCCUUCUGUCAGUGAACUAAUCUAUGCAGGAACUGCCCUCAUUGUAAUUAAUUUUGGGAACAACAAUGCUAACGUUUAGCUGACCUUUUGGUAAGUUUACUUUAAGUGACUGAACUUCAUCUCUUAUAUUUAUAUUCUCCUGCUAGUAAUCUGUACACAUCUAUAAUCACUUAAUGGAGCUUACACGCUAAGUGCUCAGGAAGACGCAUCGGGGUGAUGAGGAGGGCUGCUUAAAAUGCUGUCUCCUGCAGCAUCCAGAGGAGCCUGUCUGCUGGAGCAAGAUCUGGCUUCCAGUGCCUGGUCUGACCAUCUUUCCUCCCACCCCGUCCAUGAUUUGGUUUCUAGAAGCUCACAGCCACUUGGUGUGACUGUUGGCAGGAAGCAUAGUCAGCUGCAGCUAAGCCUGGCCCUUAGCCAGCCUGGGAAGCCUUCACUCUCGGUGCUACCCCUCUGCCAGCCCCGAGUCCCCUCCCUGCCUGGUGGCACCUCUGAAUAGGACGGGUGGUGCUGCAAGGGAGCUCUCCAGGGCAGCUCCUUUCCUGGUCCCCUCUGCGGGCUGGGAGAAAUCUUUAAAAGCGGCACAACUGAUCCCAGCGUGAUUUGUGUGAAAUAGGAGACAUCUCCAUGUAACUGCUCACAGAUGUAAGAGAUUUACAAGCAGUACUUAUGUUUCGCUGUAUUACACAGGUUCUUAUCUGCAAAAUGGCAACAGUAACAUCUCCUCUUCCUAGCAUUUGCUUGUUGUUGUUUUUUCAUCUGUAAGGGCUGGGUGCUGUCGUGGUUACUGGUUGCCCAGCAUAUGCACCAGAAGUCCCAGUCCUGUCUUCAGUUCCAGCACUGUCCCGGGGGAGAACUGGCAGUCUUGGAAUGGGAGAGUCAAGGAAAUGCAUGCCAGCGAGGUGUCAUAGAGGCACGUUUAGGGGCAGCCUCACAGGACCAAGUCAGGCACCUCAGAAAUGCACAUGAAGUCAGGUGUUUGCUCCAGAGAAAACUCACUCACUCAAAGGCGUCCUUUCAAAUACUGUUAAAGAAGGAGACAGCAGGUCUCCCUAAUGGCUCCUCACUCAGCUAGAGAAGUCCCACAGGAAGAAGUUCAAGCUUGUGUCAUCUGCGACCCAAAAAGGCCUCAGAUUCCUGAUGACAGCCUGUCACAGUGACUGGCUUUCCUUUCAUCUCACUAAAGCGGAGGCACUGCGAGAGCCAGUGCAGGCUCUCGGAUGGCUUGUGCGCGGUCAGACUGUACUAAUAUGGAACCAGCAUUAACCCCAUUCCAGCACACUUGUAUCCGCCUGACACCUGCAAAAUUUUGUGACCCCAACCCCCCAAAAGCACGGCAGAGAACAUUAGGUUCUCACCAGAGCAGUCACCAGGGAAUCCCAGAUCCUGACCCCAGUUCCGAGGCCAUCUUCUAGAGUUUACCCAGUGACAGCAGGAUGCGCAACAGUCCUGGAAGCAGGGAUGGACCUGAAACUACACCAGCCACUGCAAGCAAGUGCCAGCGAUCACUAAUAUGUAAUUCAGCAGGCAAGAGCCCACCAUGCAGCUUCCCAAGGUAAUGCUAAACAGGUUGGUUCCAGGUAGGUCACCUACAGGGCAGUACAUGGAGAUGUUCUGAGCUGUGAGACUGAGGAAUGCCUUGUACCAAGGCGUCCCGUUUCCUCAGUGAAUUAGACUAUUGCAAAGAAAAAAAAAAAGAAAAAAAAAAGGUGGUAUCAGGGCUGGCUGCUUAAAAGGCACUUCUAAAUGUGAUUCUAAAUGUGAGGGAAUUCUUUAACCAAAAAUGCCUAAAGGAUGCUGGGGAGCCUAGGGAAUUUGUCCUGUCUUUGUGGGUCACCUGGUAAUGUAUGAAUUCCUGAAAUGUACAUUUUUACUGCUCCUGCCAUACAGAUUUGCAGGCUAAGCUAGCAUUUGGAGAAUAACAGGAUUUAAGCAUCUCAUUAGUUCCAAUUAUGGGGCCUUAUUUAUUUUCUGUUUGCACUUAAGCUUUAGGGGUGUGGGGGUGUGUGCAAUUUGUCACAGUGUCAUAGCUGGGUCAUAAGCCCAGCAGGCCUUCAGGCACUGCAGCAAUACAAAACAGUAAAUAAUAAUUUUUGGCUCAAAAUUAUUAGGAAAGAGAAAGGUUGGGAAAAGCCUAAAAAAUUUGCUUUCAUGCCACUUUGAGAGUUUCUGAGCCUAUAAAUGGCUAGGUAAUUCAGGAACAUGUUCAGACUAAGAGUACUUUGGAGCUUGCGCAAGGCCACUGUUUUAGAUGCCUAAGAUGUCCUUAGAAUCCAAAACCAUAGCAGCAAUUAUAUCUCGACCAUGACUGAAGUGACUGGGCUUUGCACAGGUCAGGCAACCCAGCUAGGCUGUCUGCUGGACUAGUUUUCUUUUUGCUUACACUUACGCAAAAAUAAGAAACACUUACUGUGUUUUCAAUAAAUAGGAGAAUAACUGAAUUUAAAUAAACUAGCUUAAAAGCUAAACAAUGAAAUAAAGAUUUAAAAACUUAUCAAGUACCACUUUGGCCUUUUUAAAUACCAUGUCUGUAGGUCAGCAGUAUAGAACCAGGGUUACAGUGUCUUGCCUUUUCAUAAAAGAUCUGAAUGAGAGUCCAACAAAAAAUACUGGUUUUAUACCUAAUCAGUUGUAAUGAAAAAAUAUGAAGAACUGUCGUGUGCUUAUUAGGGGAAAUCAUCAGAUACUCUUUUAUAUGAUGAACUAACACACUGUGCUGAUAAUUCUGUAGUGCACACUAAAUUACAAUUAAAGGCCUUUCUGCUCCACCAAAAUCUCAUUUAUAAUCUCUAUGGAAAUACUCUUCCUGCAGUUAUUUCAUUUAUGCUUCCUUUAUCUAAUUACUAUAAUAUUGGUUCUGAAUCAUAUUUUCUUAAUGUACCCUUAUUCAAUUAUAAAGUUAUUUUCAAGUAGUUACUUUAUAAUACCAAGUAUAUUGCUCUACAGCCUUUGUCAUUCACCAUACUAUUUAACUGGCAAUGUUUUCUGAAGGUUUCUCUUCAUUUCAGAAUCAGCUUUUUUUUUUUUUUUUCCAAAAGCACACUACAUGUAAUUACCUUUUUUCUCAUCAUUUUCAAGACAGAAAUGUACAGUUUGAUUAUUCCAACCUUGCAAUCAGGCUUCUCUCUCCCUACUUUGUUUUUUUGCAGGCACUAAUGUGAAAAGCUCGGCAGAAACCUUCCAGGGAACAGCAACAUUCUGGGCUGUACAAUGUUCUGCUCCUGCCCCCACAGCUAUAUAAAUUUUCUUCCCUUACAAAUUCCUUCCUACCCAUGUUUCUUUUCAUCUUUCCUCUGUUCUGUGCUGUCUCUUCAUUUAUUUUCAUCUCCCAUUUUAAUCUUCUUAGUCCUUCAAGUAUGCUGUAUGUGCCCUCUAAAGGAGCGGUUCAUACACAGCAGAGCCUGCAAUUUCUUAGAAGCAACAGGACCUGUUCAUGAGGCUGAAUUUUGCUGGCAUCCAAGUGCCCUUGAUUCACACAGGGAGUUCAGGGUACCCAUGACUAGAGUCCACCGUAAACUUGUUAUAAUGUCAUCAAACUGUCUCAGAUGCCUUAUUUCAGGAGCCAAGACUGAGCCUGAUGCCAGUGCAGAAAAAGGAAUGCUUUCAUCACACGCACAGCUCUGGGCCUCUUGCUCUGGAUGGGUGAGGCAGAGCCAUAAAGAGAAGCUGGCCUGAAGAUGCACAUCAAGUGUCGGGAGAGGAGUGGGACCCUGCCUACCCAUGGCAGAACUGGCCAGGCCGAAGCAGAGGAGGGAAAGUGUUCCUCAAAACUGGGGACUGCCUGUAGUCUUACACUGAAAGGAGGUGGCAGUGGGUACUCCUUGCGUGCAGGGUCUGACCCUUAGGGCUGACGGUGGCCCAUGUUACAGGGCAGCUACAGCUCUGUUAACUUUCAUGCCUUUGUAAAUACUGGGCAUACUGAUAAUCCUUUGCACUUUUCUUGAAGGUUGCACUUUUCUUGAAGGAUUCAAAUGCACAAUUCACCUUCUCACUUUGCUCUGGGUAAAAAAACGUGGAAAAGACCGUAACACAUCCAAAGCGGCAGGGUAUCUCCCCUUGUUAUCCUUCCUUUUCUUCCUGGCAGGGGCAGAGCCUCUGGCAAAGACUCACAAGCACUGACUUGAGGGUGAAAAGAAAAGGACCUUUAAUGCCCAGAAAACAAAGUCCAUGCUCUUGAGUACUCCAUAUCCACAAGAAGAUCGAGCCCAGUUCCAGGACUUGGUGUGUAUGUUAUAGUGUUUGUGAAGCCAGAAAAUCUCACCAUGAGUUACUGUACAAUAAACCUACUUCUUCAUUUAUACCUAAGUGGGGACCCUGUUCCAUUCUUACAGCAGCAUAUUUAAUAAGUAAUAAAAUAGGAGUUUGUUAAAAAGAAACUUAUUUCUUGCUAGGAAGUCUUUGGUUUAAAUGCCCAUUUUCAGACAUUAUACGUGAAAAUGGGCAAGUCCUGCAGUAGGUCACUUACUAAAAAUUUGAUUUGAAGAUCAGCCUACAAGUCAUAACCACUCUCAUAAAGAUGUAACUAUCAUAAUAACUUUCCUUUUCCCAGUUGGAAGUACAAGAUGAACUGUUCUGAAGCACCUAAUGUAUAACUAAUGUUUAUUUGUUUUACAAGUAGCUUUACAGCUGCAAUGUUCCAAGAAUGCUUAAAUUCAAUAAACAGCUAUUAUAAUUCA
Molecule: long non-coding RNA, 4835 nt
Organism: Falco peregrinus (peregrine falcon)
Lineage: Eukaryota; Metazoa; Chordata; Aves; Falconiformes; Falconidae
Exons: 2
Source: RefSeq, a predicted model, not a curated record